This is a small nucleolar RNA of Nymphaea colorata (pocket water lily), 117 nucleotides long. RefSeq annotates it as small nucleolar RNA snoR104. The transcript has a single exon. Lineage: Eukaryota; Viridiplantae; Streptophyta; Magnoliopsida; Nymphaeales; Nymphaeaceae. The record is from RefSeq and is a predicted model, not a curated record.
GGGGAGCAUACAGCGGAUGGAUGUUAACCUGAUACAUUCUUCCAACAUGGAAUAUGUGAUUUCCUGCUUGUGGUUCUUGAAAGAUGACCCACGAGCCUCAAAUUACAUUACAUUUUC